GACGAACGCUGGCGGCGUGCUUAACACACGCAAGUCGAACGGAAAGGCCCUGCUUGCAGGGUACUCGAGUGGCGAACGGGUGAGUAACACGUGGGUGAUCUGCCCUGCACUUCGGGAUAAGCCUGGGAAACUGGGUCUAAUACCGGAUAGGAGCCAUUACUAGUGUGUUGGUUGGAAAGUUUUUUCGGUGUAGGAUGAGCUCGCGGCCUAUCAGCUUGUUGGUGGGGUAAUGGCCUACCAAGGCGGCGACGGGUCGCCGGCCUGAGAGGGUGGACGGCCACAUUGGGACUGAGAUACGGCCCAGACUCCUACGGGAGGCAGCAGUGGGGAAUAUUGCACAAUGGGCGCAAGCCUGAUGCAGCGACGCCGCGUGGUGGAUGACGGCCUUCGGGUUGUAAACUCCUUUCGCUAGGGACGAAGCUUUUGUGACGGUACCUAGAUAAGAAGCACCGGCUAACUACGUG
Molecule: ribosomal RNA, 464 nt
Filed under: uncultured bacterium
Lineage: Bacteria
Description: partial 16S ribosomal RNA
Rfam family: Bacterial small subunit ribosomal RNA
Source: RNAcentral